Long non-coding RNA from Diceros bicornis minor, 363 nucleotides. RefSeq lists it as uncharacterized. The record is from RefSeq and is a predicted model, not a curated record. The transcript has 3 exons. NCBI's taxonomy places the organism in Eukaryota, Metazoa, Chordata, Mammalia, Perissodactyla, Rhinocerotidae.
CAUCUUUUACUGCGAGGGCCAGCUUCAAGGGAAACUGAUCUGCAUGGGAAAACUCAUGGGCAGAAAUCCCGACUUGAACCUGGAAGCCCUGAAGAAAUUCCUGCCGCACCGGGAUUGCCACAGAACAGCUUCAUGCCUGUCCAGUUGGGGCAUCUUCUCACUCCUGAAUUCUCCUUGGUUUCUACAGAAAGCUGCAUUCCUGAAGGUGAUUAGGGUAAGUGACCCUUAAAGCAAACAAGAGUCCUGGGUUCAGUGGGAUGUCAAGAGCACCAGGGCCCCCCAAGCUGCCGACAGGAGGGACCUCUGUCUGAUUUGUCUGCUCUGAGAUCCCCUCUGGGACUGGAUCCUCACUUGGGAUGUCUG